Molecule: ribosomal RNA, 496 nt
Filed under: uncultured bacterium
Lineage: Bacteria
Description: partial 16S ribosomal RNA
Rfam family: Bacterial small subunit ribosomal RNA
Source: RNAcentral
GAUGAACGCUGGCGGCGUGCCUAAUACAUGCAAGUCGAGCGAACAGAUGAGGAGCUUGCUCCUCUGACGUUAGCGGCGGACGGGUGAGUAACACGUGGAUAACCUACCUAUAAGACUGGGAUAACUUCGGGAAACCGGAGCUAAUACCGGAUAAUAUAUUGAACCGCAUGGUUCAAUAGUGAAAGACGGUUUUGCUGUCACUUAUAGAUGGAUCCGCGCCGCAUUAGCUAGUUGGUAAGGUAACGGCUUACCAAGGCAACGAUGCGUAGCCGACCUGAGAGGGUGAUGGGCCCAACUGGAACUGGGACCCGGCCCAGACCCCUAGGGGGGGCAGCAGGAGGGAAUCUUCCGAAAUGGGCGAAAGCCGAACGGGACAACGCCGGGGGGGGGAAGAAGGGUUUCGGAUCGUAAAACUUUGUUAUUAGGGAAAAAAAAAUGUGUAAGUAACUAUGCACGUCUUGACGGUACCAAAGAAAAAAGCCACGGCUAACUACGU